Molecule: long non-coding RNA, 362 nt
Organism: Ceratina calcarata
Lineage: Eukaryota; Metazoa; Arthropoda; Insecta; Hymenoptera; Apidae
Exons: 2
Source: RefSeq, a predicted model, not a curated record
UCAGACUAUUAGCUAUACGUGUAUUGAAUCUACAUCUAUGAAUGAAAACUUUUUAUUGGAUUCAGAAAAUAUUGAAAUCCAACUAAAAAUGGUCUGAGUAUUUAUUAGAGAAUUACUAUAAAAGGAGGGAUCAUAUAAAAACAGAUUUUAUGUUUGCUCGCUUUCUCUUUAUAUAUAUUUUAAAUGUUAUUCUCUAACUAAAAGACAAUUUCAAUGGUAUAGAAAAAUACAAAAGAGAAAAUCAAAACUAUCAUGUUUCAAUGAUCUGACUUAUAUUUGUACUUUGCCAAUACCAAGUUUCAUGAGAAGAUCGAUGGUUUUGUAUUAAAUUGCAAUGUCAGUAAAAGCGCUAAAAUCCUUCA